Non-coding RNA from Pelobates cultripes (western spadefoot toad), 245 nucleotides. The record is from the annotation of a GenBank genome assembly. NCBI's taxonomy places the organism in Eukaryota, Metazoa, Chordata, Amphibia, Anura, Pelobatidae.
GAUGCUCAUCCCUAUGUCUUAUCUGUACUCUCUUCCUAUUACUGUUCUAAGAGUAUUUGCACAUAAGCACUUACUUUUUAAUGUAUAAAACCCAGCUGAUGAAUAAAACGUCAGAGGCUUAUUUUGAAUACCAACAGGUGUCUGGUGUCUAAUUCUCGCUUUUCCAAGUGCACUUGUAACAACAAUUUGGGCUUCCUCUGAAUAUAACAAAAAUCAACAUUUCUGAUCCACAACAAUUUGGUGCC